UACGAAGGGGGCUAGCGUUGCUCGGAAUCACUGGGCGUAAAGCGCACGUAGGCGGAUUGUUAAGUCAGGGGUGAAAUCCUGGAGCUCAACUCCAGAACUGCCUUUGAUACUGGCGAUCUCGAGUCCGGGAGAGGUGAGUGGAACUGCGAGUGUAGAGGUGAAAUUCGUAGAUAUUCGCAAGAACACCAGUGGCGAAGGCGGCUCACUGGCCCAUUACUGACGCUGAGGCACGAAAGCGUGGGGAGCAAACAGG
RNAcentral lists this ribosomal RNA (253 nucleotides) under uncultured bacterium. RNAcentral describes it as "partial 16S ribosomal RNA". It matches the Rfam family "Bacterial small subunit ribosomal RNA", at positions 524 to 776 of the family's 1533-position model. The record is from RNAcentral.